GACGAACGCUGGCGGCGUGCUUAACACAUGCAAGUCGAACGGAAAGGCCCUGCUUUUGUGGGGUGCUCGAGUGGCGAACGGGUGAGUAACACGUGAGUAACCUGCCCUUGACUUUGGGAUAACUUCAGGAAACUGGGGCUAAUACCGGAUAGGAGCUCCUGCUGCAUGGGGGGGGUUGGAAAGUUUCGGCGGUUGGGGAUGGACUCGCGGCUUAUCAGCUUGUUGGUGGGGUAGUGGCUUACCAAGGCUUUGACGGGUAGCCGGCCUGAGAGGGUGACCGGCCCCAUUGGGCCUGCGAUACGGCCCAGACUCCUCCGGGAGGCAGCAGUGGGGAAUAUUGCACAAUGGGCGGAAGCCUGAUGCAGCACCGCCGCGUGCGGGUUGACGGCCUUCGGGUUGUAACCCGCUUUCGCCUGUGCCGAAGCGUGAGUGACGGUAAUGGGUAAAGAAGCACCGGCUAACUACGUG
RNAcentral lists this ribosomal RNA (468 nucleotides) under uncultured bacterium. Its description in RNAcentral is "partial 16S ribosomal RNA". It matches the Rfam family "Bacterial small subunit ribosomal RNA", at positions 28 to 507 of the family's 1533-position model. The record is from RNAcentral.